UUCUAAAUGUAAAUUGGCUUAGGCCUACCAGAGCACUAUGAAUCUUCCAUUUAAAACUCAAAAGACUUGGCGGUGCUUUAGACUUCUCAGGGGAACCUGUUUCGUAAUCGACAGUCCACGUAAAACCUUUCCUUCUUUUGUAUUCAGUAUGUAUACCGUCGUCGUCAGGUAACUUUUAAAAAUAUUAGAAGUUAGCAAUAAAGUUAAUUAAGCUUUCACGUCAGAUCAAGGUGCAGCCUAUAAGAAGGUGAGAAUGGGUUACAAUUAAAAAUUAUAAUUACGAAAGCGAAAAUGAAAUUUUAGCCAGAAGGAGGACUUGAAAGUAAGAAAUAAACCAUACAAACUUUCUGAAUUCAGCUCUGAAGCGUGC
This 370-nucleotide ribosomal RNA is filed under the name Microcolpia parreyssii. RNAcentral's name for it is "partial small subunit ribosomal RNA". Lineage: Eukaryota; Metazoa; Mollusca; Gastropoda; Melanopsidae. The record is from RNAcentral.